Medicago truncatula (barrel medic) is the source of this 102-nucleotide microRNA precursor. It matches the Rfam family "MIR4414 microRNA precursor family". The record is from Rfam. NCBI's taxonomy places the organism in Eukaryota, Viridiplantae, Streptophyta, Magnoliopsida, Fabales, Fabaceae.
GCUGAGACUCAGCUGCUGACUCGUUGGUUCAAUAGCUCACAACAUGCAUAGUGUCAACGUGUGUGCUUCUGAUCCAACGAUGCGGGAGCUGCAUUCCAGUCG